This is a long non-coding RNA of Centruroides sculpturatus (bark scorpion), 422 nucleotides long. RefSeq lists it as uncharacterized. NCBI's taxonomy places the organism in Eukaryota, Metazoa, Arthropoda, Arachnida, Scorpiones, Buthidae. The record is from RefSeq and is a predicted model, not a curated record. The transcript has 3 exons.
GAAGGGGGAAAAAAUUACUUUUAUGUAAGUGGAAUUGGAAAGAAAUAGAUUGACUUCGUCGAGUAUUAUGUUUGCAGUGACACCGUGACUACUCUGACAAUUAGUUUUAAUUAAACAGAUCGUCAAUGAACAAGCAGGAAACGUUUCUCUACAUUUAUCCAAGUGUAAGGACCAAAUAUUAAUAUGUAUAAAUGUUACAAACAAAAUGGAUUUUGUAUAUUCCGGUCAUGCGACUUAUGUUUCUGUACUAAAUAUAAAUCGUGACUGAAAAAAACAAUAAAAAGCUGAUGUUUCAAACAAAAUCGACAGCUUCGUGACUUGAUUGCUGAUAUAAUACGAAAAUCUGCAUGAUACCAACACUGGUAUUUCCAUCGUAAAAUGUCAAGAUUAGGUGUGCCGGGUUCAAGCAUAAAUUUGUGUCA